GACGAACGCUGGCGGCGUGCUUAACACAUGCAAGUCGAACGGAAAGGCCCUGCUUUUGUGGUGUGCUCGAGUGGCGAACGGGUGAGUAACACGUGAGUAACCUGCCCUUGACUUUGGGAUAACUUCCGGAAACUGGGGCUAAUACCGGAUAGGAGCUCCUGCUGCAUGGUGGGGGUUGGAAAGUUUCGGCGGUUGGGGAUGGACUCGCGGCUUAUCAGCUUGUUGGUGGGGUAGUGGCUUACCAAGGCUUUGACGGGUAGCCGGCCUGGGAGGGUGACAGGCCACAGUGGGACUGGGAAACGGCCCAGACUGAUACGGGAGGAAGCAGUGGGGAAUAUUGCAAAAUGGGCGGAAGCCGGAAGCAGCAACGCCGGGUGCGGGAUGACGGCCUUCGGGGUGUAAACCGCUUUCGCCUGUGACGAAGAGUGAGUGACGGUAAUGGGUAAAGAGGCACCGGCUAACUACGUG
RNAcentral lists this ribosomal RNA (468 nucleotides) under uncultured bacterium. Its description in RNAcentral is "partial 16S ribosomal RNA". It matches the Rfam family "Bacterial small subunit ribosomal RNA", at positions 28 to 507 of the family's 1533-position model. The record is from RNAcentral.